GCGCAUGCGGGGCUCACUCGGCUGCAGCCGGCGCCUACUGCCACUCCCGGGAGCAUGAAGGACCGAACCCAGGAGCUCCGCACGGCCAAAGACAGCGAUGACGAUGAUGAUGUCACUGUCACCAUGGACCGAGACCGCUUCAUGGAUGAGUUCUUCGAACAGGUGGAAGAGAUCCGGGGCUUUAUCGACAAGAUUGCCGAAAACGUGGAGGAGGUGAAGCGGAAACACAGCGCCAUCCUGGCCUCCCCCAACCCGGACGAGAAGACCAAGGAGGAACUGGAAGAGCUCAUGUCCGACAUAAAGAAAACGGCAAACAAGGUUCGCUCCAAGUUAAAGAGCAUCGAGCAGAGCAUCGAGCAGGAGGAAGGUCUGAACCGCUCCUCCGCCGACCUGAGGAUCCGGAAGACGCAGCACUCCACGCUGUCGCGAAAGUUUGUGGAGGUCAUGUCGGAAUACAACGCCACGCAGUCCGACUACCGGGAACGCUGCAAAGGGCGUAUCCAGAGGCAGCUGGAGAUCACCGGCAGGACCACGACCAGUGAGGAGUUGGAAGACAUGCUGGAGAGUGGAAACCCUGCCAUAUUCGCCUCUGGGAUCAUCAUGGACUCCAGCAUCUCGAAGCAGGCUCUGAGUGAGAUCGAGACCAGACACAGUGAGAUCAUCAAGCUGGAGAACAGCAUCCGGGAGCUACACGAUAUGUUCAUGGACAUGGCCAUGUUGGUGGAGAGUCAGGGUACUUUCCCGAAUCCCUACCUGAGCUCCCUUCUGGUUCUGAGGAGGGAGGCCUGGACCUUGGGUCCCCCUGGUCCUGCAGGGGGAGAUGAUUGACAGGAUCGAGUACAAUGUGGAGCACGCCGUGGACUACGUGGAGAGGGCUGUGUCUGAUACCAAGAAGGCCGUCAAGUACCAGAGCAAGGCGCGCAGGAAGAAGAUCAUGAUCAUCAUUUGCUGUGUGAUUCUGGGCAUCGUCAUCGCCUCCACCAUCGGGGGCAUCUUUGGAUAGAAACCGGCCCCUCCCACCUCUCCACUCUGGAUGGGUCUCCCUGAGGAGGCCCCUGGCUGCUGCGUCUGGCUGGGUUGCCCUCCCCACCCCUGCCUUCUGGCCGGGAGCCCUUCCCCUCCCAUCCCACACUGCUCCCUCUCUGCCAUGAGGCUCCCGUCCCCACCACCCUGCCCCAAGCCGUGUCGUGUGCAUGAUCUUGUGACAGUGUGUGUCUGUUCAGGAGGCAGAGGGGAGCAGGAUCGGGAACGGCCAGAGGGGCUGGGGACAGGUCAGUGUGGGCAAGACUUGGGCCCUGGCCAGGUCCGCCUUUCUUCAGGCCUGAGGUCUACCCUCCUCUGGGACUCAGGCUCCUCUCUGGACCGCAACCUUGCCCUCACCUGCCCUGCCCUCUGGCUUCCCCAGCUCUCCCCACCAUGCCAAGGCCACCUGGAGGGUGGGGACCAGCUGGUCACAUGGUGCUGCUUUUCAGGUUAGGGGAGAGGUGUCCCAGGGGAUAGCCCAGCACUGAAGUUCUUUGUGAGCUUAACCACUGCCAGGAGGCUCAGGGGCCAUAGCUGCUGGUGUUUUAGGAGCACCCAGUAUCCCCACUUUGAGCGAAGCCUGACAAUGUCUCUGGCCUCAGCUGCCCGUACCACAGCCCUGGGGGUCAUGUCCCUGGGCUGGGCCUGAGCCUAGUGAACUUGUGCGAGAAGUUUGGUGGUAUCCUCUCCAGCCUUGCUUGUAGCUGAGAGGUGGGGCAGACCUCAGGCCUCUGCCCACAGUCUCUGACAGGCAUGUGGGGUCGCGGCCAGAGUUGCAUGUUGGGGACAGUGGUCCCCUGCUCUCUCUAUGCUCUGAAAAGCCAGGUGUCACUUUGGGCCUGCAGUCUCGUCCUGCUCUGUCUCCCACUGAUGUGCCACGUGAUGUCAGGUGUCCUGGAUGCAGUAUUCAGCAGCCAGCUGGGGGGGGGGGCUCCCCACUUCCCUCCCCUGCCAUCUUGGGGCUUCUCAGAGUCAAAAAAAAAAAAUAUAUACCCCCUGCCCCAGGAACCCUUUCUCGUGCACAGGCAAGGAGUGUGCAUGCGUGUGCAUGCAGCGGGAGUCGGGGCCGUGUCUGUGUGCCCCCGUUCCUCAGCUUUGCUCCUGCCCAGUGACUGUGACCACUGUCCGUGCUGCCUUCUCUCACGGCCCCUCCCUCCACCCCUUCACCAAAGGUCUUGGUACAACCAGCUGCCCAUUUUGUGAGAUUUUUAUGUAGAAUAAACAUUUGUAUCUGUA
Peromyscus eremicus (cactus mouse) is the source of this 2259-nucleotide RNA transcript. It is a transcript of the gene named syntaxin 1A, with no coding region annotated. The transcript has 10 exons. Lineage: Eukaryota; Metazoa; Chordata; Mammalia; Rodentia; Cricetidae. The record is from RefSeq and is a predicted model, not a curated record.